RNAcentral lists this unclassified non-coding RNA (253 nucleotides) under uncultured Candidatus Berkelbacteria bacterium. RNAcentral describes it as "contains 16S-23S intergenic spacer region". It matches the Rfam family "Bacterial small subunit ribosomal RNA", at positions 524 to 776 of the family's 1533-position model. Lineage: Bacteria; Candidatus Berkelbacteria. The record is from RNAcentral.
UACGGAGGGUGCUAACGUUGUCCGGAAUUAUUGGGCGUAAAGAGCAUGUAGGUGGCUAUAUAAGUGAGUGAUUAAAUACCAUCGCUUAACGAUGGGACUGUUCCUCAAACUGUAUGGCUUGAGUAUAGCAGGGGUAAGCGGAACUUUGAGUGUAGGAGUGAAAUCCGUAGAUAUUCAAAGGAACACCAAUGGCGAAGGCAGCUUACUGGGCUAUUACUGACACUGAGAUGCGAAAGCGUGGGUAGCGAACGGG